Molecule: ribosomal RNA, 863 nt
Filed under: uncultured bacterium
Lineage: Bacteria
Description: bacterial SSU rRNA
Rfam family: Bacterial small subunit ribosomal RNA
Source: RNAcentral
UGAUCAUGGCUCAGGACGAACGCUGGCGGUGUGCUUCACACAUGCAAGUCGAACGAGGUAGCAAUAUCUAGUGGCGGACGGGUGAGUAACGCGUGGGAAUCUGCCCUGGGGUGGGGGAUAACUAGUCGAAAGAUUAGCUAAUACCGCAUAUGCCGUGAGGUAAAAGUAGUAAUACGCCCGAGGAUGAGCCUGCGUCCGAUUAGCUUGUUGGUGGGGUAAAAGCCUACCAAGGCUACGAUCGGUAGCUGGUCUGAGAGGAUGAUCAGCCACAAUGGGACUGAGACACGGCCCAUACUCCUACGGGAGGCAGCAGUGGGGAAUUUUACGCAAUGGGGGAAACCCUGACGUAGCGACACCGCGUGAGCGAAGAAGCCCUUUGGGGUGUAAAGCUCUGUCAGCAGGAACGAAAAUAAAUAUGACGGUACCUGCAGAGGAAGCAUCGGCUAACUACGUGCCAGCAGCCGCGGUAAGACGUAGGAUGCGAGCGUUGUCCGGAUUCAUUGGGCGUAAAGAGUUCGUAGGCGGUUUGUUAAGUCUGAUGUUAAAGGCACGGGCCCAACCCGGGUACUGCAUUGGAUACUGGCAGACUGGAGUGCAGUAGAGGCGAGUGGAAUUCCCAGUGUAGCGGUGAAAUGCGUAGAUAUUGGGAAGAACACCGGUGGCGCAGGCGACUCGCUGGGCUGUAACUGACGCUGAGGAACGAAAGCUAGGGGAGCAAAUGGGAUUAGAUACCCCAGUAGUCCUAGCUGUAAACGAUGGAUACUAGGCGUUGCAGUAUCGACCCCUGCAGUGCCGCAGUUAACGCGAUAAGUAUCCCGCCUGAGUAGUACGGCCGCAAGGUUGAAACUCAAAGGAAUUGACGG